GUAACCGGUUUCCCCAAGGCAAUGGAUGCAUGGCCGAGGUGGGGGGGUUAAUCCGCCCCCAUGGGGAAUGAAACCCGGCCCCAGUUUCCUACGGGAGGCAGCAGUAGGGAAUUUUCCCCCAAUGGGCGCAAGCCUGAUGGAGCAACCCCGCGUGAGUGAAGAAGGGUUUCGGCUCGUAAAACUCUGUUGUUAAAGAAGAACGUAUCUGAGAGUAACUGUUCAGAUAGUGACGGUAUUUAACCAGAAAGCCACGGCUAACUACGUGCCAGCAGCCGCGGUAAUACGUAGGUGGCAAGCGUUAUCCGGAUUUAUUGGGCGUAAAGGGAGUGCAGGCGGUUAUUUAAGUCUGAUGUGAAAGCCUUCGGCUUAACCGGAGAAGGGCAUCGGAAACUGGAUAACUUGAGUGCAGAAGAGGGUAGUGGAACUCCAUGUGUAGCGGUGGAAUGCGUAGAUAUAUGGAAGAACACCAGUGGCGAAGGCGGCUACCUAGUCUGUAACUGACGCUGAGGCUCGAAAGCAUGGGUAGCAAACAGGAUUAGAUACCCUGGUAGUCCAUGCCGUAAACGAUGAAUACUAGGUGUUAGGGGGUUUCCGCCCCUUAGUGCCGCAGCUAACGCAAUAAGUAUUCCGCCUGGGGAGUACGACCGCAAGGUUGAAACUCAAAGGAAUUGACGGGGACCCGCACAAGCGGUGGAGCAUGUGGUUUAAUUCGAAGCUACGCGAAGAACCUUACCAGGGCUUGACAUCUUCUGCUAAUCCGAGAGAUCGGACGUUCCCUUCGGGGACGGAAAGACAGGUGGUGCAUGGUUGUCGUCAGCUCGUGUCGUGAGAUGUUGGGUUAAGUCCCGCAACGAGCGCAACCCUUAUGAUUAGUUGCCAGCAUUAAGUUGGGCACUCUAAUGAGACUGCCGGUGACAAACCGGAGGAAGGUGGGGACGACGUCAAAUCAUCAUGCCCCUUAUGUCCUGGGCUACACACGUGCUACAAUGGAUGGUACAACGAGCAGCGAAGUCGCGAGGCCAAGCAAAUCUCUUAAAGCCAUUCUCAGUUCGGACUGUAGGCUGCAACUCGCCUACACGAAGUCGGAAUCGCUAGUAAUCGCGGAUCAGCAUGCCGCGGUGAAUACGUUCCCGGGUCUUGUACACACCGCCCGUCACACCAUGAGAGUUUGUAACACCCAAAGUCGGUGGGGUAACCUUCGGGAGCCAACCGCCUAAGGGACAGAAAUGG
Molecule: ribosomal RNA, 1230 nt
Filed under: Furfurilactobacillus rossiae
Lineage: Bacteria; Bacillati; Bacillota; Bacilli; Lactobacillales; Lactobacillaceae
Description: bacterial SSU rRNA
Rfam family: Bacterial small subunit ribosomal RNA
Source: RNAcentral